This 81-nucleotide transfer RNA is filed under the name Treponema sp. Its description in RNAcentral is "tRNA-Leu". It matches the Rfam family "tRNA". From Rfam's summary of the family: Transfer RNA (tRNA) molecules are approximately 80 nucleotides in length. The record is from RNAcentral. Lineage: Bacteria; Pseudomonadati; Spirochaetota; Spirochaetia; Treponematales; Treponemataceae.
GCGAGAGUGGUGAAAUUGGUAGACACGCCAGACUUAGGAUCUGGUGCCGUAGGCUUAAGGGUUCAAUUCCCUUCUCUCGCA